Molecule: transfer RNA, 67 nt
Filed under: Limnichidae sp. MJTNT-2012
Lineage: Eukaryota; Metazoa; Arthropoda; Insecta; Coleoptera; Limnichidae
Description: tRNA-Glu
Source: RNAcentral
UUUAUAUAGUUUAAAAAACAUUACAUUUUCAUUGUAAAAUUAGAAAUUUUUCCUUCUUGUAAAUACU